RNAcentral lists this ribosomal RNA (261 nucleotides) under uncultured archaeon. RNAcentral describes it as "partial 16S ribosomal RNA". It matches the Rfam family "Archaeal small subunit ribosomal RNA", at positions 748 to 1009 of the family's 1478-position model. The record is from RNAcentral.
UAGCCGUAAACGAUACUCGCUAGGUGUCGGCUACGGUGCGACCGUUGUCGGUGCCGUAGGGAAGCCGUGAAGCGAGCCACCUGGGAAGUACGGCCGCAAGGCUGAAACUUAAAGGAAUUGGCGGGGGAGCACAACAACGGGUGGAGCUUGCGGUUUAAUUGGAUUCAACGCCGGAAAUCUUACCGGGACCGACAGCAACAUGAAGGCCAAGCUGAAGACUUUGCCGGAUUAGCUGAGAGGUGGUGCAUGGCGUAGUCGUGU